CACUCCUUACCUGACUCCGCCGCCGCCGCCUCUCCAGGUUCAAGCCUCCACCGUUGAGACCAUAUGCUCCGGGAUCCGACCAUCUGCGAUCUAGCCAGAACGCUCAAGCCAUCACUCUUUGCUUCCGCCCACUACGGCGUCAACUGUCUCCCACGCUGUCAUCUGGACCACGGAUAAUGAGAAAGCAAAAAAUAGGAUCCAUGGCCGUGAGGGGAAGGUCAGGGUCAGCAUGAAGAUCAAACAAGGCAUCAAGGAGACAUCUAGCAUUUUUAUAAUUGUUCAUGGACAUGGUUAGCACAGGAAAAGUAGAGAAGGGCAUUACAGCGAGGAGGAUAGAAUAUGCACAGGGGCCGGCCGACGCCGUAUGAUGUGUAGCAUCACAUGACGUACAUCAGGCAACUAAUGAUGCACGAUCGCGUACAUCCGGCAGCUAAUGAUGAACGAUUGGUCCACAACACUCCUGGUAUCAUUUUUUCUUUUUAGUUGUUAAUUUUGUUAUUAGUCACGUCUUGAUAGUCAUGUGUCCGUUAAUAUUUUGGCCUAAAAAGGGGACAAAUUUUAACUCUGCUGCUGCUUAUGUGAGCAAUAUAAGUUUCUAACUUUCUAAAAAAUCAACACCCAAUAGACUAUAUCUUUUCUUGGUUGAUCUGGUAGUUAAAUUUUAAAAUGGUAGCACACAAUAUUUAAGCUAGCUGAAGGGAAUGGUUGAGUUGUACGACUUUCCAUUUGUGUUGUUCUUUUGUUAUUUGGCGAAACUGAACCACUUCCAGGCCAAGAAGCUAAGGUCGCAAAAUCUUGCCGACAGUGUUUUCAUUGUCAUCGCUCCAAUUGCUAGCACAGAUAAUCGGUGCUCUCCUUGCCUUACCCCUGAAGACGAUGUUCUACUGCCUCCUUACCUGAUUGGAUAUUUUUUUACUAUGCAAUUAAUAUUAAGUAGACUCAAUGAAACAUUUAUUUUUCUGAUCACUGGUUAUUCUGUUAGCAAUUAUAUCAACAAUUUUUCAUGGACCUGGGUGUACCAGAUAAUGCAAUCAGCAUAGCCUCUACAUCAGGUAAAUACGUUUUCUUUUUGUUGGUCCUUCUGCCCCCUUGGUUGUUUAAUGCCCGUGCUCAUGUUCAUGGUCAUUCGCUCACAUAUAUAAAGAUUGUGAUUAAUUCUUUGUGUCAGGGCUAUUAUUUUCUUACUGCUGGAUAACCUUUGUUGCUAAUACAUUGUUCCUUCUUUCGGAUUAUAAUCUCUACUACCUAAUCGAUGUGUUCUCAGGUUCUAUUCCAAUUUUCUUGCUAGGCACUCGAAUAAGUUCCUGUGGUUGUAAAUUCUACCCUUGAAUUGCAUGCUGUUUUACUGAGUAUGCGGAGCAAAUAAAACUGUAAUUACACAAUCAUGUGUCAAAUUUGUUUGAGGGAGAGAACUAUGUGCAAAUGGAAGUAUCAUACGUGACCAUCACAUAUCAUAGAUGAAAAGAGUAUGUGGUAUGUAUUGCCAUGGCUUCACCGAUAAAACGUACUGAACUAUUCUUACUACUCCAAUUGGUUCUUGGUUUCGUAAGGAAACAAGAAGCCGUGGGAAGGAUUCCAUUGUUUGUGGCUUGAGCAUUGAGGGGCUACUUUUGGCAUUAUCAUAUUUAUUCUGCUAGAUGAAAUGGUGCCGAAUCCACAUCAGAACAACUCGAAGUUCCGUAUGGUAGGUGAUAUUUUUUUCAUUUCAUUUUCUUACGGAGUCAUAUAGAUAUAUAUGUUUAUAUGUUGUUUGUAGUAUGAAUAUUCAGAUCAGUAUCUCAACUCCAUUUGCUCAUAUAUUUACAAACAACUGAACUACAUCAUUUGUGGGGGCGAUUACCCAUAAACCAGGAAAGGUUUAUAUGAAAUAUUCUAUGGAUAGUGGCGGCGACCCAUAAAAUAUGUUUUAUUUUAUUUUCAAGUUGAUUGCAGAGCGAAUUUUCCUUACUUAUUAUUCUGUGGAAGCUCUCUCCUUUUAGGCAAACACUGUUCAUGAGGUAUAUAUAUUCAGAGGAAGCACAUAAGGAUACAUAUAUACGUAUAGUUGCCCCUAUUCUAUCUAAAGACUUUGAAUCUGGCAGUGUUUAUAUGAAGAUCACAAUAUAAAUUAACCACUAUAUGUUAUACAUGAUGAUUAAUUAAGUUAGUUAGCGAUAUUCAGUGGGCUUGAUUGGUAUAUGGAAUUUCCUCAGUCUCUUAUUUAUAUGAGUAGAACUAAUUGGUCUGGAGUUAGGUGUAGCUAUAUCACAGACUCUGAUAUGCAAUUUGUAUUCAAUCGAGUGGCCUAAACAUCUCCAUCAAAAAUAGUUAUUCAGAAAAAUGAUGAAUUAAAAUUUAUAAAUAAUAAGCAAUAUGAAUUGUAAGUGAAGUCUUUAAGUACUGUAGAAAUUUGUACCAUAACAUAAACAAAACAUAGUCCUAGCUGGGCUUCUUUUAUAUGAGAAAAUUACUAUUGAUCCAAAUGCUAAGGCAUAUAACUAUACGUGUUUUCCUUUCAAUAGCUAGGAUAAUAGUUUUCAAUAUAUAUGGCUUACUAAAAUGCUAUUGCCGAUGCAUAUAUUUAUAGCUCUAUGAAUCCAAAGUAAAAUAUUUAUUUUCCACUCUUUGUUGAAAUAGAUAGUAUGAUAUACACAGUGUUAUAGAUAUAUUAUAGCAAAUCAGUUCAAUUAAUAAAAUGUUGUAUAUUGCUGAAUUUGCACAUAUAUUUUUGCAAUAUAGUAUAUACAUAUAAAUAUUAAAAUUUGCAUGUGUGAACAAGUGAAAUUCAUGAAUGAAAAUACCAAGCAAAACAAAAAG
Molecule: long non-coding RNA, 2796 nt
Organism: Triticum aestivum (bread wheat)
Lineage: Eukaryota; Viridiplantae; Streptophyta; Magnoliopsida; Poales; Poaceae
Exons: 2
Source: RefSeq, a predicted model, not a curated record